AGGGGGAGCUGCACAACUGCUUGGGAUCGAGAGGAAAAGGGGAGGGGACACGGCGAAAGCAGGGGCGUUGGGAACCGGCUUGGACGUAGCGGUACCGGAGGCUGUAGGUGCGCGGGUGGCUCGAGGGGUGCGGGUCGGUGGAGCAGGCGCUCGAAGCGGCUGCAGGUGAGGAAGCUGAUGCAGGUGGUCAACCUCGGCCCUCGGGGACCUAGCGUCCCUAGCUACAGCAGAAGUUGGAGGUUGGUGGCGCUGCGGUAGCUGCUUAAGCAGCGGCAGCGAGGUGGGGGCCGGAAGAGCUAGAGCGGAUGCUGUGGCGUCACUCUGAAGCUCUGGCGACGGCUACAAGCACACAAGCUGAUGUAGCUUCUACUGGGGAGGAACGGUCUCGUUGGUCUACAACCUCGGGUCCUCGGUCUGCGGUGGAAACUACUGCUGAGGAUGAUGUGGCCUCCACGGAUGAUGAUGCGCGACGGGCGACUGCUGCUGGUCCUCAUCAAUCCUCCUAGGGUCCGUCCUCCGGACGCGGAGGAAGCUAGACAUAGGGUCAAACACGAUCGGAAGAAUUCCGUUUGAACAAAUACAGACAUGAGUCUAUAACAACGAAGGUGACUGAGCAGAUACUAGCUCGAGAACAUAAGCUCGGAAGCUCCGGGGACCGAACAUUAUACUACGAACAUACUGAAUAAAAUAAACAUCUCAACACAACACUAUAG
RNAcentral lists this ribosomal RNA (713 nucleotides) under Triticum aestivum (bread wheat). Its description in RNAcentral is "partial small subunit ribosomal RNA". Lineage: Eukaryota; Viridiplantae; Streptophyta; Magnoliopsida; Poales; Poaceae. The record is from RNAcentral.